Long non-coding RNA from Hibiscus syriacus, 276 nucleotides. RefSeq lists it as uncharacterized. NCBI's taxonomy places the organism in Eukaryota, Viridiplantae, Streptophyta, Magnoliopsida, Malvales, Malvaceae. The record is from RefSeq and is a predicted model, not a curated record. The transcript is spliced from 2 exons.
UCACUCAUUAACAGUUCAAACAGUAUUACUUGAAGCAAUACAAACAUCUUGAACAAGGGAACCAAGUACAAAGCUAAAUACCUGAUGAACACGGAAAGCAAAACGGACCCCUUGCAGAAGUAUAAACUCUCGGUUGGGUUCUUUUUCCGGUCCAGUCAAUGCAUCAAGUUCUGAUGCUACGCGUUUCAUAUAUUUCCUUGCCAAUUGAACAGAUGAAAGUUUGAUCUGCAUUAUGCAGAAGAAAAACAUAGAUUUAUGAUCACAUUUUAUAGCAGG